Molecule: long non-coding RNA, 647 nt
Filed under: Mus pahari (shrew mouse)
Lineage: Eukaryota; Metazoa; Chordata; Mammalia; Rodentia; Muridae
Description: lncRNA (MGP_PahariEiJ_G0004704.1)
Source: RNAcentral
ACGUGACUGUUGGCCAGAGAAUUUUGGAGCUGGACCCUUGUGUCAGGAGCCUAGUGUCUGGGAAUAAGGUAAAGGGACCUUCUGUCCCUUGCAGAUUAAUCUGCUGAGUCUCUGAAUCUGUAAGACGGUGCAGGCAAGCUUAUGUGAAAUAUUCAUUUCAAGCAAUAGCUCAAAAACUGGAGGAUCCAAGCUCUCUACAUAUUGUUCAGGUUGUAAUGCAAAUGGGAAUCCCAAUGCAGCAUGUACUAAGAAAACUCUAGUAACUGCUCUAAGACACAUUUCCUGGUCUACACUGUCACUGGAACAUUGAAAUGGAAAACUGAUCAGCACAUACUAGUUCAUUAAAAUUAUCAUGGAAAGGACCCCAAAGAGAGAAAUGUGUGACAGGCAACAUUCUCAAGGCAUUUUGGAGCGUGCAUCAACUCAACUCACUUCAUGAAAAAUAAGAGAAGAUGGAAUCCUGCUUUUCCUUUCAGGGUAAAUAAUAGUCUCCAUGAAAUAAAAAAAAUCUCAAUGAAGAACUCCAGACUGAACAGUGGGCAGAAUGAAGUCCACUGAUUGGCCAUUAUGAUGAAUUUAAGUGUCCAGCCACCCAUCCCAUGAAAGCCAAUCAAACAGGUGAAGAUAAAUAAACAGCUGUUCCAGUU